This 226-nucleotide ribosomal RNA is filed under the name Vibrio alginolyticus. RNAcentral describes it as "partial 23S ribosomal RNA". It matches the Rfam family "Bacterial large subunit ribosomal RNA", at positions 1 to 222 of the family's 2925-position model. The record is from RNAcentral. Lineage: Bacteria; Pseudomonadati; Pseudomonadota; Gammaproteobacteria; Vibrionales; Vibrionaceae.
GUUGUAUGGUUAAGUGACUAAGCGUACACGGUGGAUGCCUUGGCAGUCAGAGGCGAUGAAGGACGUAUUAACUUGCGAUAAGCCCAGAUUAGGUAGUAAAAACCAUUUGAGUCUGGGAUUUCCGAAUGGGGAAACCCAAUACCAUAAGGUAUUACUGUUGAGUGAAUACAUAGCUCAACAGGGCGAACCGGGGGAACUGAAACAUCUAAGUACCCCGAGGAAAAGA